GAUGAAGAACGUAGCGAAAUGCGAUAAGUAAUGUGAAUUGUAGAAUUCAGUGAAUCAUCGAAUCUUUGAACGCACAUUGCGCCCCCUGGUAUUCCGGGGGGCAUGCCUGUCCGAGCGUCAUUACAACCCUCAAGCUCAGCUUGGUGUUGGGCCCCGCCGCCCCGGCGGGCCCUAAAGUCAGUGGCGGUGCCGUCCGGCUCCGAGCGUAGUAAUUCUUCUCGCUCUGGAGGUCCGGUCGUGUGCUCGCCAGCAACCCCCAAUUUUUUUCAGGUUGACCUCGGAUCAGGUAGGGAUACCCGCUGAACUUAAGCAUAUCAAUAAGCGGAGGA
Molecule: unclassified non-coding RNA, 329 nt
Filed under: soil metagenome
Description: partial contains 5.8S ribosomal RNA, internal transcribed spacer 2, and large subunit ribosomal RNA
Rfam family: 5.8S ribosomal RNA (bases 1-120)
Source: RNAcentral